GACGAACGCUGGCGGCGUGCUUAACACAUGCAAGUCGAACGGUAAGGCCCUUCGGGGUACACGAGCGGCGAACGGGUGAGUAACACGUGGGUGAUCUGCCCUGCACUUCGGGAUAAGCCUGGGAAACUGGGUCUAAUACCGGAUAGGACCACUGCCUGCAUGGGUGGUGGUGGAAAGCUUUUGCGGUGUGGGAUGGGCCCGCGGCCUAUCAGCUUGCUGGUGGGGUGAUGGCCUACCAAGGCGACGACGGGUAGCCGGCCUGAGAGGGUGACCGGCCACACUGGGACUGAGAUACGGCCUAGACUCCUACGGGAGGCAGCAGUGGGGAAUAUUGCACAAUGGGCGCAAGCCUGAUGCAGCGACGCCGCGUGAGGGAUGACGGCCCUCGGGUUGUAAACCUCUUUCAGCACCGACGAAGCGCAAGUGACGGUAGGUGCAGAAGAAGGACCGGCCAACUACGUGCCAGCCGCCGCCGUAA
RNAcentral lists this ribosomal RNA (478 nucleotides) under uncultured bacterium. Its description in RNAcentral is "partial 16S ribosomal RNA". It matches the Rfam family "Bacterial small subunit ribosomal RNA", at positions 28 to 523 of the family's 1533-position model. The record is from RNAcentral.